Non-coding RNA from Taeniopygia guttata (zebra finch), 510 nucleotides. NCBI's taxonomy places the organism in Eukaryota, Metazoa, Chordata, Aves, Passeriformes, Estrildidae. The record is from RefSeq and is a predicted model, not a curated record.
AGGGCGGGCGAGUGGAACUCAUGGAAGCGGUAGUGCUCCUCCAGCGGCAGCAGCUUGCGCAGUGCCCCUCUGGAGGUUAAUUGUGCCUGCUGCUCUUCUGCGCUAAAACCUCAGCCCCUUGCGAUGAAAUCCGGAAACGCUUUGACAGCUCCGAUCUGAACGUAGAAUCGCACAAAUGCUUUUCGUGUUUUUCUGAUGAUGGUUGCUGUCUUUGGAUGCAAAAGAAAUGUGUGACUAAGCGCCGUGGUGUUUAGCUACGACAUCGGGCAACUGCUUUAAGCAUAGUGAAAAAUCUUAGUAUAAAAUGGAAAUCUUUCUGUGAGACGUGUGUGGAAGAUACGGCCAUUAGUUCUAACCUUAGGUCCUGUUGUGUUAAGCCACCUUGACCAUUGAUUUUACAGGAGAUUUUAGUGGAGUGUAACACCAGAUUCACUACAACGUUGGGGAAAUCAAUAAGACAAGUACUUUUUGUCCUUUGACAUUAAAGUUUGUGCUCAGUAAAUAAAAAAA